This 449-nucleotide ribosomal RNA is filed under the name uncultured bacterium. RNAcentral describes it as "partial 16S ribosomal RNA". It matches the Rfam family "Bacterial small subunit ribosomal RNA", at positions 29 to 523 of the family's 1533-position model. The record is from RNAcentral.
AACGAACGCUGGCGGCAUGCCUAACACAUGCAAGUCGAACGAGAUCUUCGGGUCUAGUGGCGCACGGGUGCGUAACGCGUGGGAAUCUGCCCUUUGGUUCGGAAUAACAGUUGGAAACGACUGCUAAUACCGGAUGAUGACGAAAGCCAAAAGAUUUAUCGCCAGAGGAUGAGCCGGCGUAGGAUUAGCUAGUUGGUGUGGUAAAGGCGCACCAAGGCGACGAUCCUUAGCUGGUCUGAGAGGAUGAUCAGCCACACUGGGACUGAGACACGGCCCAGACUCCUACGGGAGGCAGCAGUGGGGAAUAUUGGACAAUGGGCGAAAGCCUGAUCCAGCAAUGCCGCGUGAGUGAUGAAGGCCUUAGGGUUGUAAAGCUCUUUUACCCGGGAUGAUAAUGACAGUACCGGGAGAAUAAGCUCCGGCUAACUCCGUGCCAGCCGCCGCCGUAA